Molecule: non-coding RNA, 273 nt
Organism: Ictidomys tridecemlineatus (thirteen-lined ground squirrel)
Lineage: Eukaryota; Metazoa; Chordata; Mammalia; Rodentia; Sciuridae
Source: Rfam
GUGUGUGUGUGUGGUUAGGACAAUUUGUGACUUGUCACACCACUGAUAGCCAGGUUUGAUUUGACUGGCUGGCUAUGCAGGCUUCCCCUUCCUCCCUCAUUACUCCAUGUGCAUCACUGCUGAAACUGCUAAAUGACUAUUCUUUGGCCAAGGGUUUACAAGUAGUUGCACUCCCCUGUCAGAACCUCCAAACAAGCUCUUAAGAUUCCAAAAUUGAAUAUCCAAAUAUAUCUCUAACAGAAUCUAAAUGCUAUUAAUAUUAUAUUUAAAGGU